RNAcentral lists this unclassified non-coding RNA (254 nucleotides) under uncultured Actinomycetes bacterium. Its description in RNAcentral is "uncultured actinobacterium contains 16S-23S intergenic spacer region". It matches the Rfam family "Bacterial small subunit ribosomal RNA", at positions 524 to 776 of the family's 1533-position model. Lineage: Bacteria; Bacillati; Actinomycetota; Actinomycetes. The record is from RNAcentral.
UACGUAGGGUGCGAGCGUUGUCGGGAAUUAUUGGGCGUAAAGAGCUCGUAGGCGGUGGGUCGCGUCGGUCGUGAAAACUUGGGGCUUAACCCUGAGCUUGCGGGCGAUACGGGCAUCACUUGAGUUCGGCAGGGGAGACCGGAAUUCCUGGUGUAGCGGUGAAAUGCGCAGAUAUCAGGAGGAACACCGGUGGCGAAGGCGGGUCUCGGGGCCGAUACUGACGCUGAGGAGCGAAAGCGUGGGGAGCAAACAGG